CCAGUCAGUGGUAAGGCUGCAUUGGUCUUUCGCUCUGCACAACAAAGGGCAAACUGCCUGCCUGCAACACGGACUCCAGUUUACUUCUUGUCGAGCAAAGCUGAAAAGACUCGCUCAGCCCAGCCAGGAGACGCCAUUUGUCGUGGAAAUUAGACAACACACGCAGACUUUUCCUGUGAAGGACUCUCUGGCUGAAGCUGAGCAGGCGAUGGAGACCAACAAUCAGCUGGAGAAUAUGGAGACCAACACUCAGGUAGGAGAUAUUAAUUUAAAUAACUCCUACCUGAUGUCCAAAGUGAACACACUGGAAGACUGUGUGCAGCUGUUGGACGAAGAGCUUGCUCAGACCCGGAUGAGGUGUAAUGAGAUAAUGAUGGAGCUGGAGCAAGAGCAGGAGGCUCACAGAAUCCUGGAGUCCCACUGCGAAGAGAUGAAGACAACUUUAAAAACGUGUGACGAGUUACUCAAGGUGUGCGAGGGAGAGGUGAAGGAUCACAGUAUCCUAAAGGUAUCUCUGGCAGAGGUUGAGAGGAAAUACAAGCAGGCAAUGGAGUCCAAUGCUCAUCUGGAGAAUGAGACCUUUGACCUGAUGUCCAAGAUGGGCAUACUGCAAAACUCCAUGCAGGAAAUGACAAAUAAGUGUGCUGAGGCAACAAAGAAUUACGAGAAAACAAAGCGUAUUCUUGAGUACGUGUUGGCCACUGCCAAUGAGCGGGAGAAAACUUUAAAUCUGGAAAUAGACUUACUUCAGGCUUCUCUGGCUGAAGCUGAGAGGCAUUAUGAAUUUUUGGUAACAGACUACUAUGAGUCAGUUGACACACAGAAUAACUUGAGAGCUGAGCUGAGCACUCUGCACGGAAAAGUGGGUGAUCUGCAGGGAGCGCUCAGAACAGUAACAAGGGAGUGUGAGCAAUUGAGAAGCAUGAGGGACAAAUUGAGUUUAAUGAGUACAACUAUACUAAAAGACCAUGAGUUAGAACUUCAAGCACACGGUACACUGAAGGAACAGCACGUUGAGUUACUAACGGAGCGUAAACGAGAGCAGGCCUGUCUGGCUGAAGCGGAGAGGAAAUACAAAGAAGUCAUGGAGUCCAAUGCUCAGUUGGAGAAAGAGAAGUCUGACCUGCAGUCCCAGGUGAACACGCUGCAAGGCUCAGUGCAGCAGCUGAAGGAAGAGCACUCUGAGACACGCAUGAAGUGUGAUGAAAUGCCGGUCUCUCUGGCUGCAGCUGACAAGCUGCAGGAGGAAGCGAUGCAGUCCAAGGCUAAGAUGAAGAAUGAAAUAUUGGACCUGAAGUACCAUUUGCACACACUGCGAGACUCAGUGCGGGAGCUGGAGAUAAUGCUCUCUGAUGGAGAGAUGCACUGCGACGCUAUAAAGCAGAUGUCUGGAAAGAACACGAAAACCCGUGGUAGCAUUCAGACACGACUGAGACCUAGUGUGCGUGCCGUGAGCGAGUCCCCUUCUCCCCCUGAAUCCGCGUCCCCGAGCAGUGACCCUGACUCUGCCGCACUCAAGCUUGAGUUGCUGGCUUCACUGAGGAAGGACAUUGCCGAUAUUUUUAAAAAGGAGUUUCAGGCCAUGUUCAGGGAUGCGCUGUCUACUAUCCAGCUUGACCUGCAGGCCGUGAAAACACAGCAGGCUGGUGAUAAAGUCGCUACCGAGGCUAACAUAUCAACACUGAAAGGUACUGUUGGGGAAAUGGGGCACGCUCUCUCCGGUUGCACCGAUGACAUAGUUCAUAUGAAGACUACUAUCGAGCCUCUCACUGCAACCGUGACUCAAUUAGAGAAUAAAUGUGCGGAUUUGGAGUCGAGGUCACGGCGCAAUAACGUUAGGAUAGUGGGAGUUCCAGAGGGCCCUGACACCUGUACAACUGCUGCUGUAGCGGCCUUGUUAAAGGAGGCAUUUGGUCUGGAGAAGGAGCCGGUUUUGGACCGGUCCCACCGGACCCUUCAGCGGAAGCCCAAGCCUGGUGAACGACCACGAGCUAUUGUGUGCAGAUUCCACUAUCACAGUGACUGUGUUGAUAUUUUGCGCCGUGCGAGAGAGAUCCAACGGAUUAAAGUGAGGGAUUUGACCAUCUCCGUUUUCCCUGACUACACAGCCAAGACAGCCCGGGCCCGGGCCGCGUUUAACGAGGUUCGGCGUCAACUUCGUGGUAUUGAGGGAGCUCGCUAUGGAAUACUUCACCCGGCUCGGCUUCGCAUUACAUAUAACGGUGUUCAGCAGGAGCAGGAGACUAUGUUAAACUCUUGAUAUCGGGGUGAACUGCAUCACCUAUAUAGUGGAGUUUUUUUUCACUUUUAUUCUUUUUUUGCACUCGGCCUUCCAGCUGUACAGAAUUCGGAUUCUUAUUGAAGAUAUUGUCGGUUCAUUACUUCGUCUAGAUUUUGUGGACUCACUCCUCUUAAAUUUACUUCUGUAUUAAUGUGCUUCUCUGUUUUGAUGCUCUUACUGGGUUAGAGUUUAUUUCAUUUUAUUAGUGUUGUUUCCUCAUCUUUACGUGCCACACUGUGUUAUAUUAUUUGUUACAAGUCUUUAAAAGUUAAGGACAUCAUAUUUGUUAAAGUGCGCAGACUAUUUAUCAGUUUUGAAGUCAGUAGGGGACUUUUCUCUUACUGGAAUUUUUUUUGUUUAGGUAAUUUAGUUGCUUAGUUCGGUUUACUCUUUGAGUUGGUUUCACAUUGUGGACAACUUUUGGUGGGAAACACUGCUGUCUCCCUUUGUUUUAUGGAGACUUUGGGUGUGUUGGGGGGGAGGGGGGGUCCCACUCCGCCUGGGACAGGCACGCCUUUAAGAUUUAUUUGUUGGAACAUCAGAGGAAAUCCUGUCAAGAGAUAUAAGGUUUUUACAUAUUUGAAACGUCUUCCACUCAAACUUUAAUUUGAAAGUAGGAGGGGUCGCUAUUUUAACUGACAAAAAGGUUACAGUUUUCGUCCACUAAUGUUAUCGCUGAUGCGAACGGUAGAUAUAUUAUAGUUGCUGGUACUCUAAUGCAAAGACAGGUAUUGUAUACACUCCUAACUUAGAUUAAUUUUUUUUUAUUUAUUAAUUUUAAUUAUUUUAUUUAUUUAUUUAUUGUUGUUAUUAUUUUUUAUAAAUGGCAUCCCUUUACUGUAUACUUUAUGGAGUUACAGACACUUCCCGCUUAAAUUUUUGUGCCUGUUGUUGGGUUUUAUAAUAUUUAUAUAACCAGCGACAGUUAUUGAGUGGGGGGGGUACUUUUAAUUUUGUUUUCCUUUGUUUGUUUUUGUUUUUUUGUUAUUUUUUUUCUUCUCAGUGAAAUAUUUGGGAAAGGGAAGGUAGGAGAGAAGAGAAAAGGUAAAUGAAUCACAUGUAAAUGAAUCACAUGUAAAUAAAUCAUAUGAAAAUGAAUAAAUAAAUUAAAACGGGGGAAAAAAGACGCUAGAUGUUGUAUUGAAUGGAAGAGGCCCAUUGUAGACGCGAACAUUAAGCUCUCAAGGUUGCAACCUCUUCUGCACCAUGGCUGUGUUUUAGGAGUCAGAACAAGAGCGGGAGGCUUACCGUAUCCUGAAGAUGCAAUACAAAAAGAUGAAGGAAACUAUUCAGAGGUUCAGAGAGCUACUAAUGAUCUAUCACACAAAGCUUGGAUUCGAGGAGCCUCAGGGUCAAAGAUAAGUCCCGGAAUGCACGGCAAACUGUGUAGAGCCAUUCUGCAUGCUUCAUGCUGUCAGGGCUUGGACUCCACUCAGGUCAGCAGCGUGAGAAUCAGAUGCUCCAUCAGUGGGCCAUUGGAGAGGGGAUGAGCCCAAGUGCAGAGAUGAACUCAAAACGGGGUAAAAGUUGGGGUAAAAAACAAAAAACAAGAAACAAAUGUUAUCCACACAGUUCAGUCGGUAAAUCCAAAGAAUAAAUAAUCCAACAUAAAAUUCACAACACAAAAUUAUCCUCAAAGCAGUAAUCCAACAAAAAGA
Long non-coding RNA from Ictalurus punctatus (channel catfish), 3939 nucleotides. Lineage: Eukaryota; Metazoa; Chordata; Actinopteri; Siluriformes; Ictaluridae. The record is from Ensembl.